UGGUUUUUGUAGCCACAUGACACCCCGUUACACUUGUGACAAUUUUUUUUAUUAAACAAUGCAUGACGAUAGAUAAAAAUACGAAACUCUCGAUAGGCCUCCUAAUUUCAUGGUUGUAAUGAAAUAAAAACGUAAUUAUAAGAAUUGAAUGCUUCUUUUUAUUUAAUAUAAUUUCAUGGCUAGUAAAAGGGUUAAAUAAACUCAUCAUAGAUACCAGGACUAAAUUUAGUAUAUACGCCAGACGCGCGUUUCGUCUACAAAGUGUGCACAUUUUUUACAGUGGAAGCGCGAAUAUAAAAUAAGCUUCGGUAAGCGCUUUUUCACUCAAAUCAAACUUAUCGAAAGAGACAUUUACUUUUUAAGUAAAAGUUCUCUCAAUGUCACAUUUACAUUUUUAUUA
This 400-nucleotide long non-coding RNA is filed under the name Mytilus galloprovincialis (Mediterranean mussel). Lineage: Eukaryota; Metazoa; Mollusca; Bivalvia; Mytilida; Mytilidae. The record is from RNAcentral.